This is a non-coding RNA of Paramisgurnus dabryanus, 1200 nucleotides long. The record is from RefSeq and is a predicted model, not a curated record. NCBI's taxonomy places the organism in Eukaryota, Metazoa, Chordata, Actinopteri, Cypriniformes, Cobitidae.
UGCGCACAAAUGCACAUUUUCCCUGGUGCUAAAAGGAGUUUCCAGUCAGGUUCACGGUGACGGUGGGAAAGGAAGACGGGAUAUUUCAGCCCCGGAGUUUUGCUCAGUCGGUCUAUUUGCACAGACAGUCAACAAGAUGACUUAUUGAAAGACCUGGAAAACAUCACCAUGGACAUAUGUGUAAUCAAAAAGAAAGAAGGUGUUCUUGGCGACUAUGACGAUAUUGGAGUCGUUGUUGGAGUGAUGAUUCUAGAGCAGCUCAAAUCUGUGGCACAAGCCUGCAUUGAUGCUGGGUACAAUCUAUGUGCUUAAUUUGGCGUACCCCAAAAAGCUAAAAUACUACUUUUUUGAAAUUUUUUAAAAAUUCAUUAUGCAGAUGGAUUCUAAAGCUCUCCCCAAAAAUUCAAGGACUGAAAAAACGUUUUAAAGGUGCAGUGUGUAAUUUUUAUCGUCAUCUAGUGGUGAGGUUGCGAGUUGCAACCAACGGCUUAGUCCACGGCUCACUUCUCGCUUUUGAAACACAUAGAGAAGGACAAACAUGUCAUCGUUGGAGACAACUUAGCAAAAAAUUGUCCUUUAAGGGCUUCUGUAAAAAAAUGGCAGCACAAAAUGGCGACUUCCAUGUAAGGGGACCCUCGUAGUAUGUAGAUGAAAAGGUCUUGUUCUAAGGCAAUAAACACAUAACGGUUCAUUAUGAAAGGUGUUUAUACACCCGUGAUAAUAUAGUUUUGUAUGUUAUUUUGCAUUUCUGUCAAAAGAUCCUCUUAAAAAUUUCACACUGCACCUUUAAUACUGAAAUGUUGUAGCAGACAUGUAUGUGCAUGCUCUGCAUGAAAUGUUAGUCCAGAUGUCACAGUCUACUCUGUUUAUCAUUUAAGACCUGGGAAUCCGUAGUUUUAAACAUUUUAAUAAUGCUUUUAAUGAUUCAUAACUGUUGUCUGUAAAAAUGUAACACUUUUUUUUUUAAAUAAUUAUUGUGCAAUGUGUGAAGUCAGCACUACUGUUUUUGACUUUUGUGCUGUUUUAUUGAUUCACAAACAUUGUGGCCUCUUUCCAUCUGUGUUUUUUUUAUUUUAUAUUUUGUGAAUGUGCAGUGAGCACUUGUUUUAAACACUUGUACACACAAAGAAAUUGUUAUUGAACAUGCACUACAUUUGCUGAAUAACAUUAAACUUACCACUUGGUGUAUUUGCAAAGCCA